RNAcentral lists this ribosomal RNA (253 nucleotides) under uncultured bacterium. Its description in RNAcentral is "partial 16S ribosomal RNA". It matches the Rfam family "Bacterial small subunit ribosomal RNA", at positions 524 to 776 of the family's 1533-position model. The record is from RNAcentral.
UACGUAGGGUCCGAGCGUUGUCCGGAAUUAUUGGGCGUAAAGGGCUCGUAGGCGGUUUGUCGCGUCUGCCGUGAAAACUGGAGGCUCAACCUCCAGCCUGCGGUGGGUACGGGCAAACUAGAGUGCGGUAGGGGAGAUUGGAAUUCCUGGUGUAGCGGUGGAAUGCGCAGAUAUCAGGAGGAACACCGAUGGCGAAGGCAGGUCUCUGGGCAUUAACUGACGCUGAGGAGCGAAAGCAUGGGGAGCGAACAGG